RNAcentral lists this transfer RNA (73 nucleotides) under Loxodonta africana (African savanna elephant). It matches the Rfam family "tRNA". From Rfam's summary of the family: Transfer RNA (tRNA) molecules are approximately 80 nucleotides in length. Their secondary structure includes four short double-helical elements and three loops (D, anti-codon, and T loops). Further hydrogen bonds mediate the characteristic L-shaped molecular structure. tRNAs have two regions of fundamental functional importance: the anti-codon, which is responsible for specific mRNA codon recognition, and the 3' end, to which the tRNAs corresponding amino acid is attached (by aminoacyl-tRNA synthetases). tRNAs cope with the degeneracy of the genetic code in two manners: having more than one tRNA (with a specific anti-codon) for a particular amino acid; and 'wobble' base-pairing, i.e. permitting non-standard base-pairing at the 3rd anti-codon position. Lineage: Eukaryota; Metazoa; Chordata; Mammalia; Proboscidea; Elephantidae. The record is from Rfam by way of RNAcentral.
GGCUUUGUGGUAUAAACGGUUAAUGUGCUUGGCUGCUAACUGAAAGAUGGAGGUUUGAGUCUACCCAAAGUUA